Long non-coding RNA from Mauremys reevesii (Reeves's turtle), 257 nucleotides. RefSeq lists it as uncharacterized. NCBI's taxonomy places the organism in Eukaryota, Metazoa, Chordata, Testudines, Geoemydidae. The record is from RefSeq and is a predicted model, not a curated record. The transcript is spliced from 3 exons.
CUCCAGUUCCAUUCAGUCCUCAUAACUUUCUGGCCCUUUUCCAGGCGAACCCUGUAUACUGACAGUACCUGAAGAUAAAAGGUGGAAGAGGAGAAGGAGAAGACAUGGAAGAAAAUACCCCAAAGAUCUUGGAAGAAUGGAAGUCCCAUCAUAUGGAACAUGACAUCUGCAGCAUAGUGGCCAACAAGGACGUUUAGAACAAUUAAACCUUCAACAUGAAGAUCGUCAUCUGAGGAACUCUAAUUAAGAAGUCAGUU